Molecule: long non-coding RNA, 321 nt
Filed under: Lactuca sativa (garden lettuce)
Lineage: Eukaryota; Viridiplantae; Streptophyta; Magnoliopsida; Asterales; Asteraceae
Description: long non-coding RNA (LSAT_LNC010338)
Source: RNAcentral
AUAUAAAUUAAUAAGUUGGAUAUUUUCUUCUAGUAGCAAAAACUAUCCUUACAAGUUGCAACUUACAAGUAUACAACAUUUAUACACACAAACAAUGUGCGAAAAUCAACCUUCUAAUGUAACAAAUUCUCCAACCACUAUCCAACACGUUUACAUGUGUCCUAUGAAACAUCACACUACAAUUACAUACGCCGAGUAAAUUCUAUUGUCUAGACAUCGGUGCCAUCGGUUGGCUAGUGUACCCACCUUCCAUUUGAUAAUUAUGGUAACCGCCAGGUGGUGGCGGCACCACCGCCGGUGUGUAUGAAGAACCACUGUUGA